GAUGAAGAACGUAGCGAAAUGCGAUAAGUAAUGUGAAUUGCAGAAUUCAGUGAAUCAUCGAAUCUUUGAACGCACAUUGCGCCCGUUAGCAUUCUAGCGGGCAUGCCUGUCCGAGCGUCAUUUCAACCCUCAGGGUCCCCGUUCCGGCGGGGAACCUGGUGUUGGGGAUCGGCCCGCCCCGUGCGGCGCCGUCCCCCAAAUUCAGUGGCGGUCUCGCUGCAGCCUCCCCUGCGUAGUAGUUACAACCUCGCAUCGGAGCUCAGCGCGGCCACGCCGUAAAACCCCCGACUUUCUGAACGUUGACCUCGGAUCAGGUAGGAAUACCCGCUGAACUUAAGCAUCUCAAUAAGCGGAGGA
Molecule: unclassified non-coding RNA, 357 nt
Filed under: soil metagenome
Description: partial contains 5.8S ribosomal RNA, internal transcribed spacer 2, and large subunit ribosomal RNA
Rfam family: 5.8S ribosomal RNA (bases 1-120)
Source: RNAcentral